AGGGUUUGAUCCUGGCUCAGAACGUACGCUGGCGGCACGCCUAAUACAUGCAAGUCGAACGAAGUAGCAAUACUUAGUGGCAGACGGGUGAGUAACAUGUAGGUAUCUUCCCUAUGGUGAGGAAUAACACGAGGAAACUUGUGCUAAUACCUCAUAAGUCUUUACGGAGAAAGCUUUAUGCGCCAUUGGAUGAGCCUGCACUUGAUUAGUUUGUUGGUGGGGUAAUGGCCUACCAAGACAAUGAUCAAUAGCUGAUUUGAGAGGAUGAUCAGCCACAUUGGGACUGAGACACGGCCCAAACUCCUACGGGAGGCAGCAGUAGGGAAUCUUGCACAAUGGGGGAAACCCUGAUGCAGCGAUGCCGCGUGAGUGAAGAAGGCCUUUGGGUUGUAAAGCUCUUUCGUCGGGGAAGAAAAUGACUGUACCCGAAUAAGAAGGUCCGGCUAACUUCGUGCCAGCAGCCGCGGUAAUACGAAGGGACCUAGCGUAGUUCGGAAUUACUGGGCUUAAAGAGUUCGUAGGUGGUUAAAAAAGUUGGUGGUGAAAUCCCAGAGCUUAACUCUGGAACUGCCAUCAAAACUUUUUAGCUAGAGUAUGAUAGAGGAAAGCAGAAUUUCUAGUGUAGAGGUGAAAUUCGUAGAUAUUAGAAAGAAUACCAAUUGCGAAGGCAGCUUUCUGGAUCAUUACUGACACUGAGGAACGAAAGCAUGGGUAGCGAAGAGGAUUAGAUACCCUCGUAGUCCAUGCCGUAAACGAUGUGUGUUAGACGUUGGAAAUUUAUUUUCAGUGUCGCAGCGAAAGCAAUAAACACACCGCCUGGGGAGUACGACCGCAAGGUUAAAACUCAAAUGAAUUGA
This 857-nucleotide ribosomal RNA is filed under the name uncultured bacterium. RNAcentral's name for it is "bacterial SSU rRNA". It matches the Rfam family "Bacterial small subunit ribosomal RNA", at positions 8 to 913 of the family's 1533-position model. The record is from RNAcentral.